AAUAAGAUUAUUUUUCAUUUUUCCGUGUCCAAUGUUUGAUCAUUUAUUUUAUUUAAAAAAAUUACGAUUAAUAUUUUUGUUCUUACUAGAUGAUAAAACAUGAAUAGUACGUGACUAUUUUUUUAAAGUUUUUAUAUAAUUUUUUCAAAUAAGACGAAUGAUCAAACAUUAAACACGAAAAAAC
RNAcentral lists this microRNA precursor (184 nucleotides) under Oryza brachyantha (malo sina). Its description in RNAcentral is "MIR812 microRNA precursor family". It matches the Rfam family "MIR812 microRNA precursor family". Lineage: Eukaryota; Viridiplantae; Streptophyta; Magnoliopsida; Poales; Poaceae. The record is from Rfam by way of RNAcentral.